This is a long non-coding RNA of Mus musculus (house mouse), 848 nucleotides long. RefSeq annotates it as predicted gene, 47459. The record is from RefSeq and is a predicted model, not a curated record. Lineage: Eukaryota; Metazoa; Chordata; Mammalia; Rodentia; Muridae. The transcript is spliced from 2 exons.
GGCUUGGCAGCAAGCAUCCUGGGCACGGAGCCAUCUCACCAGACCAUGUGUAGACAGUUCUGGCUGUCAGAACUCUGAGAACUACCAACCUGUUCAAGGAUGCCACCUAAUGUGGCUUGGAACACAGCACUAUCCUCUGCCCCCAGCAGACACUCAGUAUGAAUCAACAAUGCCAAUGCUGACACAAACGGAAAGAUUUGAGAGGUGACUUGACCUUCUGCUUACCUCUGGCAUCUUAUUGUGAAGGUGAACUCAGUGGUAUUCUUCAGAAGGUGGUGGAUAUCGUCGUCGUCGUCAUCGUCAUCAUCAUCAUCAUCACACAUGUCUGUGCAGGUGUCUGAAGUGGCCAGAAGAGGGCACUGGAUCCCUUGGAGUGGAGUUGUGAGGUGCAGGAUGAGCAUGCAUGGACCCAAACUCAGAUCUUCCAGAGCAGCCUCACUCACUCUUCAACCCCUGAAAUAACGUUUAUUUCUCUCUCUCUCCUCAUCUCUGUACCUGUUCAUUAUUGUCAUAUUAAGGAAGAGAGAGAGAGAGAGAGAGAGAGAGAGAGAGAGAGAGAGAGAGAGAGAGAGAGAGAGAGAGAAAUCUCUUUGGUGCAGAUUGAACAAGAAUCUGCCCAAAUUUGAAUUGUCCACUUCUCUCUAUCUAUAGUCUGUGAUUAAUUGCUUGUGCCUCUCUAUUGUGUGUAUUUGAUCUGUCUCUACUGUUUUUCUGUUGUGCUGGCACGUUAUUUGUGUUUGACAUGUGCCUGUCCCUAAGAAAGGGCUUUGUCUUGUAUUUAUUGACUAGCAGAGAAAGCAUGAUGUGGGAAAGGAAUAAUUUUUUUAAAAAAUUUAUUUAAAAAUUUA